AACGAACGCUGGCGGCAUGCCUAACACAUGCAAGUCGAACGAGACCUUCGGGUCUAGUGGCGCACGGGUGCGUAACGCGUGGGAACCUGCCCUUAGGUUCGGAAUAACUCCCCGAAAGGGGUGCUAAUACCGGAUAAUGUCUUCGGACCAAAGAUUUAUCGCCUUUGGAUGGGCCCGCGUUGGAUUAGCUAGUUGGUAGGGUAAAAGCCUACCAAGGCGACGAUCCAUAGCUGGUCUGAGAGGAUGAUCAGCCACACUGGGACUGAGACACGGCCCAGACUCCUACGGAAGGCAGCAGUGGGGAAUAUUGAACACUGGGCGAAAGCCUGAUCCAGCAGUGCCGCGUGAGUGAUGAAGGCCUUAGGAUUGUAAAGCUCUUUUACCCGGGAUGAUAAUGACAGUACCGGGAGAAUAAGCUCCGGCUAACUCCGU
Molecule: ribosomal RNA, 432 nt
Filed under: uncultured bacterium
Lineage: Bacteria
Description: partial 16S ribosomal RNA
Rfam family: Bacterial small subunit ribosomal RNA
Source: RNAcentral